UACGGAGGAUGCAAGCGUUGUCCGGAAUGAUUGGGUUUAAAGGGUGCGUAGGCGGUCUAUUAAGUCAGUGUUUAAAUUUUGCAGCUCAACUGUAGGUAUGGCAUUGAUACUGAUGGACUUGAAUAUUAAGGAGGUAGCUGGAAUUUAUGGUGUAGCGGUGAAAUGCUUAGAUACCAUAAGGAACACCGAUAGCGAAGGCAGGUUACCACUUGAUUAUUGACGCUGAGGCACGAAAGUGUGGGGAUCAAACAGG
RNAcentral lists this ribosomal RNA (253 nucleotides) under uncultured bacterium. RNAcentral describes it as "partial 16S ribosomal RNA". It matches the Rfam family "Bacterial small subunit ribosomal RNA", at positions 524 to 776 of the family's 1533-position model. The record is from RNAcentral.